UCGAACGAGAAAGUCGGUUUCGGCCGAUGAGUAAAGUGGCGCACGGGUGAGUAACGCGUGGAUAAUCUACCCUUUAGUCCGGAAUAACUUGCCGAAAGGUGAACUAAUACCGGAUGACAUCCCGGGUUCUCCGGAAACCGGGAUCAAAGAAGGCCUCUGCUUGCAAGCUUUUGCUGAAGGAUGAGUCCGCGUACCAUUAGCUAGUUGGUGGGGUAAUGGCCUACCAAGGUUAUGAUGGUUAGCUGGUCUGAGAGGAUGAUCAGCCACACUGGAACUGAAACACGGUCCAGACUCCUACGAGAGGCAGCAGUGAGGAAUAUUGCGCAAUGGGGGCAACCCUGACGCAGCAACGCCGCGUGAGUGAGGAAGGUUUUCGGAUUGUAAAGCUCUGUCGAGCGGAAAGAAAUGCACGAUGGCUAAUAUCCAUCAUGCUUGACGGUACCGCUAGAGGAAGCACCGGCUAACUCCGUGCCAGCAGCCGCGGUAAUACGGGGGGUGCAAGCGUUGUUCGGAAUCAUUGGGCGUAAAGAGCGUGUAGGCGGCUGGACAAGUCAGAUGUGAAAUCCCUGGGCUUAACCCAGGAAGUGCAUUUGAAACUGUCUAGCUGGAGUAAGGGAGAGGAAAGUGGAAUUCCUGGUGUAGAGGUGAAAUUCGUA
RNAcentral lists this ribosomal RNA (656 nucleotides) under uncultured bacterium. Its description in RNAcentral is "bacterial SSU rRNA". It matches the Rfam family "Bacterial small subunit ribosomal RNA", at positions 62 to 692 of the family's 1533-position model. The record is from RNAcentral.